CAGUGAUAAACUGGAGGAAGGUGGGGAUGACGUCAAGUCAUCAUGGCCCUUACGACCAGGGCUACACACGUGCUACAAUGGCGCAUACAAAGAGAAGCGACCUCGCGAGAGCAAGCGGACCUCAUAAAGUGCGUCGUAGUCCGGAUUGGAGUCUGCAACUCGACUCCAUGAAGUCGGAAUCGCUAGUAAUCGUGGAUCAGAAUGCCACGGUGAAUACGUUCCCGGGCCUUGUACACACCGCCCGUCACACCAUGGGAGUGGGUUGCAAAAGAAGUAGGUAGCUUAACCUUCGGGAGGGCGCUUACCA
This 307-nucleotide ribosomal RNA is filed under the name Salmonella enterica subsp. enterica serovar Reading. RNAcentral's name for it is "bacterial SSU rRNA". It matches the Rfam family "Bacterial small subunit ribosomal RNA", at positions 1153 to 1459 of the family's 1533-position model. The record is from RNAcentral. Lineage: Bacteria; Pseudomonadati; Pseudomonadota; Gammaproteobacteria; Enterobacterales; Enterobacteriaceae. RNAcentral also lists the same sequence under 1 other name.